UGGCGGACGGGUGAGUAAUGUCUGGGAAACCGCCUGAUGGAGGGGGAUAACUACUGGAAACGGUAGCUAAUACCGCAUAAUGUCGCAAGACCAAAGAGGGGGACCUUCGGGCCUCUUGCCAUCGGAUGUGCCCAGAUGGGAUUAGCUUGUUGGUGGGGUAACGGCUCACCAAGGCGACGAUCCCUAGCUGGUCUGAGAGGAUGACCAGCCACACUGGAACUGAGACACGGUCCAGACUCCUACGGGAGGCAGCAUG
This 256-nucleotide ribosomal RNA is filed under the name uncultured bacterium. Its description in RNAcentral is "partial 16S ribosomal RNA". It matches the Rfam family "Bacterial small subunit ribosomal RNA", at positions 96 to 353 of the family's 1533-position model. The record is from RNAcentral.